Molecule: long non-coding RNA, 607 nt
Organism: Lolium rigidum
Lineage: Eukaryota; Viridiplantae; Streptophyta; Magnoliopsida; Poales; Poaceae
Exons: 6
Source: RefSeq, a predicted model, not a curated record
CUCCCCGUUGCCGUCGCCCUGUUCGUCCCUCUCCAUGAGCUCGCGCCACUAAGCAGCCGCGACACCACAUGAAACCGUCAGUGUGUGUUCGGUGUGCUCCUGGUGGCUGCAGAACUAUGUGUACCCGAGAGUUGUCCUUGGACGUUGACUGGGUCAUGUUCGACAACACUCUUUGGUUUGUCAUGAAUGGAAAUAUGGAACAUGUAGAUACAGUGCGGAAAUCUGGAAGAUGAUGCUCACGUGCUUUUUGCCUUCUAUAUCUGAGGGUAAGAACUAAAGAGAAGAGUCAAUGUUGUUGUUGAGGAUCUCAGAACUGGUCCCUGGAUUUGGUGUUGUUGAGAUAAAGAGAAGGAUCUGAAGCUACAACCCCUUCUAAUAGUUUAUUGUCUGCAGGGCAUGGUUUGGCUGAUUUGAUAAUGCCCAUUUGAUCCUUCUUCUAUAUGUAAAUGGCUAAAUUAGGUUUGGGUGAUCUGAGAAUGGCCAUUUGGUCCUUCUGCAAGUAAAUGGGCUGAGUUAGGCUUACCCAUUAUUCACUUUGUACCAGCAUCUUCAUGGACUCUCUCUCAGUUCAGAUCCACUCUCUGCUAAUCAUUCAUGUCUAUGGUGA